Molecule: long non-coding RNA, 3827 nt
Filed under: Acanthaster planci (crown-of-thorns starfish)
Lineage: Eukaryota; Metazoa; Echinodermata; Asteroidea; Valvatida; Acanthasteridae
Description: uncharacterized LOC110987274
Source: RNAcentral
CGAAUUUUAUGGCUGCGGCUGGAAAUGACAGGUGCAUCUAUGGGAACCAGUGGCCAAUUCCUUUAGGCGCUCGUGUUACGACCGCUACCAGUUUAUCCAGACACGACUGCAGUUGCAGGGAAGGCUGACGAGCGAAGAACGCCAUUAUCUUCUUCCUCGCGUUUGAACAACGAUUCUGCAGAUAAGAAAAGCUCGAGAAAGUCAAGAAUGUCUCAGCAGCGAAGGUACGGCUACUUCACAUGUCCCACAUGCGGGCGAGAUUGGGAGAGCGCUCACACCUGGUGCUAUAAAGGCACAGAUGAGCCGUGCUCUGGGCAGCAGUGCCAGAAUCCAGGUUGCCCGAAGGAUUACAUCAAACCUUACAAAGUGGAGCGUCUGAGAUGCCCGAUUUGUGGUUCCAACACCGACUGCUUCUGUGACCGUGACGACCGCCACAACGACCCGGAGAAACCCCAUCGCAGCGACCUUUGCGAGCGGUGCGCCAAGAGGCUUCCCUGCGGUGGCAAUCGUUAGUUAAGGUAGCUAUGACACAACGUCCUGCAACCCACCGUGGGAUAUCAGCCCUGAUUGGCAGCUUAACCUAACAAUAAAUGGAAUUGUUGUCUGCGAUUGUUUAAUUUUGAAUAGUUUAUGGAAAGCAAAGAUAAUAUUUACGGCUCUACACAAAUGAUAACAAAGUAAUGCUAAGUUUCACUGCAAUAUUAAGCAUGGCAUUUUCGCACAAAGCUUAAAUGCAGUAACUGCGGCUGCUUAAAUCGACGCAUAUUGUAAUUAGAAUAUUCCUUUUUCAACAAAAUAUUCAAGUGUGUCUCAGUUUAUCCACUCUUACUAUCCCCGCAAUUAACGGACAAUAAUUCUUGGCUUUGUGACCUUUGUAAUGUUUCAAAUUUCGAAAAUAAUGCAAUGUUGACUUUUUUACUGCUGAGUAGCCUACUAAGAAAUUCCCUAUGCAAACGAGAUGUGUAAAUAUCAUAUAUAAACUGCAUGUUCAAAUCAUUCGAGAUCAGUAAGUGAUAAAAUAGUAUUACGUUACAAAUUGAGUGAAAGUAUUACAGUGCAAUCCGACGAUAAGAAAUUAUAAUGAAUCACGUAAAAGAAGCACUGAACCGUACAUUAAUGAGAUCGUAUGUACAUUCAAGGUACAUGUAUAUUGAGAUUAUUUAAGAAUGUAUCUUCAUCGCUUCACUGCAAUGGAUUUAAAGGAUAUUUUUGGCUGAUGCACCGCUUUGGAAAACAACGCGAAAGUAUUUACAACAUUUACAAUGUUUCUCUUAGUAUGAUAGAUCUAUGAAAUUAAGCUCUCGGUUUAGUACGGUCGUCGAAGUGGAUGACAUCACUGGUUGUCUUUUCUGCUGCAGAUAUUUUUUUAACAUUACUACUGCAUGAAAACAAAGAAGAGUUUAGGAGUCUUGACGUCGAAUGUGUGGUUACCUUAAAUGUGACUGGCUCUAGAAAAAUGGGUAAUCAUUUGCCAAAUUCAGAGGAGUUUUUGACUUGGCUGGAUUUUGUACAUCAAAAGGUAGAAUUUGAUAUAUGAAUUACCCCUGCAGCAUGCUACGUUCCGGAGAUAUAUAGACAUUUGUAUAUCCACAUUUUCAGAUUCAAUAAAUAACACUUUUCGAGAAAAAGCUCAUAAAGUGUAGCGCUUGGAAACACAAUUCUAUAUAGGAUUUCCUACUGAUUGAUAAUUGUUCAACUUUAUUCAUCAGCAUCCAUGUUUGUAGUCACACAAAUUCUGAAAAUAUAAAUAUUAUAAAAGCUAUUAAAUGAAAAAACAUAACAUCACGGUUUUGAAAAAAUUUUGCCCUCUCCAAAUAGAACAGGCCAUGACAUGUUUUGGAAUUGCGCGACUUAUUACUCUUUUUUGCAGAGCGGGCCACAAAUGAUUAAUGUGUAGUAAGCCUCUUUACCUAAGAAGCUGAUGCAUGUCAAAACUCUUCAUCACACUAAAUGUUGGAACAUAUCAACGUGCUAACCAUAGACAUCGGGUUUUUUUCCAUACUGUGACCUCCAAGUCCCCAAUAUCGGACGAAUCAAAGGCGUUGAAUAGGAUAGAGAAGCAUUAAGUUGAGCUCUGAAGACAAAUGACACUGCGUUCGAUGUGGAUGCUUCCAUAUUUAUUUGAACAGAUAAAAUCAGAGAAAACAUGUUUUCCUUUGAGUUGCUCUUUAAAGCCCAGCUCUCCUCACGUGAGAGCUGGGCUUUAAGCACGCAACAUCCCGGCGAUUGUAAUGACACAUAUCCUGUAAUGAGAAAUAACACUGUUAUGAUACAUUAAAUGUUGGACUUGGCUCACUGUGGAGUGUUGUGAAGAAUGUACAGAAUCGGACUUCUUUUGCUAGGCAGAGGCCAGACUUCUUUUUCGCACUCUCGCUGGACGAAAACACGACUUUCUUCACAAAACGAAGUCUUUGAACACUGGAUUGGAAAUCAAUCCAACAUGAGACCGAAUCAAGCAGAAACCGAGCGCAUGUUUGGCUUCUUCAGGUGUCCUAAAUGCCGUAAGAAGUGGCGGAGCUCCUGGGCUUGGUGUUUUGCUGGAACUAACAAGCCAUCAUCUGGUCAACAAUGCAAGAACAGGAAAUGUCCGGAUGACUUUAUCGAUCCAUACAGGGUUCAGCCUCUCCAAUGCCCUAAGUGUCACUCAAUUCCACCGUGUAAGUGUAAACCGGACAGGGAGAAGAGGCCACAUCGUAGUGACCUGUGUGAACGUUGCCUGAAGCACCAACCCUGCGCUUAUCGUGACUACUGAACCAUCUAUCUUGCCGGAAACUUGCGUUUUGAUUCUGUUUUCGAGCUCACCACUUUUUGGCCAAGUUCUGACAAGAUUGAAAGUUUGUUUGUAAUUUUAAAGAAAUAAUAAUGAUUAUGAUAAACAAAUAGGCAAGAAACUGGUGUUACAUGGUCCACCGUACUACCCUGCUUUGGAUAUCUCCAAAGUGAGGACAUGUCAUAUGUUUUGCUGCAAAGGUUGGAUUGCUCAUUCAGGGAAUAACACCAUCAUGAGCCGCUGUAUUAAUAAUGUGCUAUGACUUCGAUGACUAAUAGCCUUUCACAUCGAGGGGAAUUCCCCUGCACGCAAUAAAGCGAAUGCAUUAUGAAUGGUAUAAGCCUUCGCGGUUCCUUCUCGCGCCAGUACGGGAUCAUUUUAUAUUGCACGAAGACAUUUUAGGGGUGUAAAUUUGAGUUUGCAGAAAGAUAUUAGUUCCGCCGAUUUACAAUGGGAUAGGAAGAUAUGACUGACUUAGGAUGAAAGAGACAUAUAUAUACAUAUCCAUGUACUCUGGGCCAUAGUGUUGCGUCCGGGCUUUUGCAGAGUGAAGGGGGCAGAAACGAAGGUCCGUUUUUUCGUCCAAAAAUGUAUCCUCAUAGUUCCGAUCGACCCCUGAGUAAGUGCUAGGUAACGGUAGUAUUGUUCCAGAAGUGUUAGUGCGUUCAAUUCCCAAAGAAACAUGUAGUAUUAUGUGCACUAAUUUUGCCAGGGGGGAGCAAUUCUACAAAAUUUCAAAGACUUUGCUUCGAUAGCGGUUUUCUGUGAAAGCGUUGAACGUCAGAACAACAUGAAGUUGAAAGUUAAGCAUGAAUAACUACUUCCAGAUGAAUGACGUCACAGGCUGCCAUCUGAGAAUCUGCCUGCUGCCGUCGUUUGUCCUGGAAAGUUUAUUCUGCGCGGUGUUUUACAUGUAAAAGAAGGAGUUAUGUGUGUCAUAAAGUAACUUCCUUUGAUGACGUCGAAGUUUUAGAGCUUUUGUUCUUUUAGAAGAAGUGUUUGUGACUAACUUUAGUAAGGGAUUGACAAUAAAAAUAUAUUUAAAUAUGAAGGGCGC